RNAcentral lists this ribosomal RNA (545 nucleotides) under uncultured soil bacterium. RNAcentral describes it as "bacterial SSU rRNA". It matches the Rfam family "Bacterial small subunit ribosomal RNA", at positions 956 to 1498 of the family's 1533-position model. The record is from RNAcentral.
GCAACGCGAAGAACCUUACCUGGGCUCGAACGGCUGAUCAACGGAGGUGGAAACAUCUUUACCCCGCAAGGGGGUUCAGUCGAGGUGCUGCAUGGCUGUCGUCAGCUCGUGUCGUGAGAUGUUGGGUUAAGUCCCGCAACGAGCGCAACCCUUGUCCUGUGUUGCCAUGUCGAAAGACGGAACUCGCAGGAGACCGCCAGGGAUAACCUGGAGGAAGGUGGGGAUGACGUCAAGUCCUCAUGGCCUUUAUGUCCAGGGCUACACACGUGCUACAAUGGACGGUACAAAGCGCAGCAAACCCGCGAGGGGGAGCCAAUCGCAAAAAACCGUUCUCAGUUCGGAUUGCAGGCUGCAACUCGCCUGCAUGAAGCUGGAAUCGCUAGUAAUGGCAGAUCAGCACGCUGCCGUGAAUACGUUCCCGGGCCUUGUACACACCGCCCGUCACAUCACGAAAGUGGGUUGUACUAGAAGUCUGCGCGCUGACCCGCAAGGGAGGCAGCGGCCCAAGGUAUGACUCAUGAUUGGGGUGAAGUCGUAACAAGGUA